GCUCUGUCAAAUCAAACUCCUCGCGACGCCCCGCUCGCACAACACCACGUUCCUCUCAACCGUCCGUCGGCCUCAACGCGGCGAAGCAAAAAGAUCACCUGCCAGCCUCCGCAAUCCGCAUCCACUUCCCUAGCUUAAAAGACUCCGACACCCAAUCCCACUGCCUGAUCACAACUCGCAAACCGAACCCACUUGGCGUUGCGCUGGCCGGCAAGUUGGCUCGGCGGCGAUGGAGAAGAAGCUGCUGCCGCUGGUGCACAAGCACAUGCACGGCGGCGGCGGGGAGCGGAUGUGGGCGCGGCCGUGGCGGUGGGCCAAGACGGCCUUCUUCCUCGCCGCCAUGCUCGCCUCGCUGCUGCUUGUCUGCGGGCCGCCGCCGCUCGUCAUGCUCCUCGACCUCGCCCUCCCGCCGGCGCUCCUCUCCGCUAGUCUCAGCGCCGGCGACGGUCUCGCUUAUGGCUCGUUCACGUCGGCGGUCCUGGCCCAGGCGCGCGCGUUCGACUUCCGGUCGUCCCUCGUCGACCUGCCCGCCGUCUCCGCUGCGCGCGCGCUCCUCGUCCUCUGUGCGUACGUGGUGUUCGGGGGAGGCGCGGCGUACCUGUGGGUCGUCGUGGCGUGCGCCGCGGGGUCCGUGUCCUACGUGCUGGCCAAGGCCGCGGCCGUGCUGCCACCCCGAGCCGCGCUGCAGGGAGGGAACGCGCGCGCCGUGACCGUAGCCGCCGGCCCGGAGGCCAUGCUCCUGCUCUCGCUGGCGCUCGCCGCCGCGCACCUCGCAGCGGCGUACCGGGCCAGCUGCCGCGAGCGCCGGCGCAUGCUCGUGUACAGGAUCGACGUUGAAGCGGUAAGUGCCAGCAUAACCAAUCCUCUCUCUGCCUUCCGCCCUGCAAAUCGCACGAGCUAUCUUCUUCCACAAACCUUCACGCCUGCGCAACGAAAAAUCCGAAUCUUUUUCUGCAUCUCAGAAGGCAUUAUGAUUCUCACGAACAAUCCAGGCAUGUUGUUGGGUUCAUCGACACCCUAUCGUCUCUGCUUUCGGUGACAAAGAGGACAUAAGAUUCUCGCGCAUAGCCAUUAACGCGUAGCUGCAACGCGCCGCAGAGUUUAGGAACAAAAGGUUAAGCCGUGCUCUUCAGUUGCACACUGGUAGACUAGACAAGGAUAUCUGCUGCAUUUGAAAGUGCCUUAAAGUUUGGCUAAAAGGAGGCCAUCAAACACCUAAAGGGCUGAAGCAAUGUAGUGUCUGACAGACACUGUGUUCUCGUCCUUAUUAGACCCAAUUUUUGGUUGAGUUGUUCUUCGUCAUCUGUACACUAAGAUACGUUACUUGUAUACUCACCGUCACUAUCCGAAGCGAAGAUAAUGUAAAUACGAAACAGCUGUUGCUUAAUCAAUCAGUCCGGCCGGCCUCCUGCGAUGCGAUCCAGGACGAGCCGUGUUCAA
Phragmites australis (common reed) is the source of this 1440-nucleotide RNA transcript. RefSeq lists it as uncharacterized. The transcript has 2 exons. NCBI's taxonomy places the organism in Eukaryota, Viridiplantae, Streptophyta, Magnoliopsida, Poales, Poaceae. The record is from RefSeq and is a predicted model, not a curated record.